Molecule: long non-coding RNA, 853 nt
Organism: Lagenorhynchus albirostris (white-beaked dolphin)
Lineage: Eukaryota; Metazoa; Chordata; Mammalia; Artiodactyla; Delphinidae
Exons: 3
Source: RefSeq, a predicted model, not a curated record
CGUAUAACAUUGCUGUUUUUCUAGUCAAAAAGGUAGAAUGUCAGCAACUUCAUUUGGUUCAACCUAAUAACCAGUUCUCCCAAAGCACUUUACGUGUUCCUCUAUUAUGACCCUGUUUUCGAUCUGUCUUGGGAAUGAUUAGGUAUUUACAUGACCUUGUCCUCCACUUGGCUACAAAACUCCCUGAGAGCAUCUCCAGCUAGUACUGCACCUUACACAGAGUAGGGGAACAAAUGAAUAGGAAAGUAAAUGUGUGUGUGUGUGUGUGUGUGUGUGUGUGUGUGUGUGUGUGUUUCUAAGCAGUGUGCUGGUGUUGGGGAUAAAAGGCUGAAUCAGCAAGGGCCCUGCCCAGGAUGAGCUCAGGUCUCAGUGAGACAGAAGGAAAAUUUCACUCCAUCAAGCAGGGUUUCUCAACAGCGGCAUUAUGGACAUUUGGGAUCAGGGAACCCUUUGUCGUGAGGGUGACUGUUCUGUGUGUUGUAGGAUGCACGGCAGCAUCCUUAGCCUCUACCCACGAUAUGCCAGUGGUAUACCCUCCACCCCGCCCCCAUCCAGCCUUGACAAUAACAUAUCUCUAAACAGGGCCAAAUGUCCCGAGGAACAAAAUCAGCCCUGUGGAGAACCACUGCCACAGAUGAGCUAAGGUGGCAGGAUGCCAGUGUAGCAGCUCAGAGGAAGUACCUGGGGAAUGCUUGGCCCAAACAUAGGACCUUGAUGAAUUAAGUGAGGUCACUCAGAAGUUUCACUGCUUGUGUGGAAGCAACGUCAGGAGUUACAAUACUGUCUUCUUCUGGCAAAGGUGUGUGUUAUAAUCUCGAUUAUAAUCCACAAAGAAGCUGGAAGAUGUUCGGCC